GGCGAACGGGUGAGUAACACGUGGGUAACCUGCCCAUCAGAAGGGGAUAACACUUGGAAACAGGUGCUAAUACCGUAUAACAAUCGAAACCGCAUGGUUUUGAUUUGAAAGGCGCUUUCGGGUGUCGCUGAUGGAUGGACCCGCGGUGCAUUAGCUAGUUGGUGAGGUAACGGCUCACCAAGGCCACGAUGCAUAGCCGACCUGAGAGGGUGAUCGGCCACAUUGGGACUGAGACACGGCCCAAACUCCUACGGGAGGCAGCAGUAGGGAAUCUUCGGCAAUGGACGAAAGUCUGACCGAGCAACGCCGCGUGAGUGAAGAAGGUUUUCGGAUCGUAAAACUCUGUUGUUAGAGAAGAACAAGGAUGAGAGUAACUGUUCAUCCCUUGACGGUAUCUAACCAGAAAGCCACGGCUAACUACGUGCCAGCAGCCGCGGUAAUACGUAGGUGGCAAGCGUUGUCCGGAUUUAUUGGGCGUAAAGCGAGCGCAGGCGGUUUCUUAAGUCUGAUGUGAAAGCCCCCGGCUCAACCGGGGAGGGUCAUUGGAAACUGGGAGACUUGAGUGCAGAAGAGGAGAGUGGAAUUCCAUGUGUAGCGGUGAAAUGCGUAUAUAUAUGGAGGAACACCAGUGGCGAAGGCGGCUCUCUGGUCUGUAACUGACGCUGAGGCUCGAAAGCGUGGGGAGCAAACAGGAUUAGAUACCCUGGUAGUCCACGCCGUAAACGAUGAGUGCUAAGUGUUGGAGGGUUUCCGCCCUUCAGUGCUGCAGCUAACGCAUUAAGCACUCCGCCUGGGGAGUACGACCGCAAGGUUGAAACUCAAAGGAAUUGACGGGGGCCCGCACAAGCGGUGGAGCAUGUGGUUUAUUUCGAAGCACGCGAAGAACACCACCAGUUCUUGACA
This 903-nucleotide ribosomal RNA is filed under the name Enterococcus sp. C4I17. Its description in RNAcentral is "bacterial SSU rRNA". It matches the Rfam family "Bacterial small subunit ribosomal RNA", at positions 97 to 986 of the family's 1533-position model. The record is from RNAcentral. Lineage: Bacteria; Bacillati; Bacillota; Bacilli; Lactobacillales; Enterococcaceae.